AUCAGUUUACAAAAAAAUAAAUUGUCCUCUCAAACUAAUGUGUUGUCUUAUUUUCUCACUUUGGCUGGUACAGUGAUACCAAUCUAAUUGCAGUCGAGGGGAUAUGUGAUAACUUGAAACUGAGCACAGAACGUUCUUUCUUGGUUUGCAUUUGGUGUAACCCCCCUUGAUUGUUCUUUUUCCUCUGUCUUAUAAUCCUCUGAUUGUCAAUCCAGUCAUAUAUUGAUGAUGUAUUGAUCAUUGGUUAUCAGAAGUUUUCUACACAUUGCUGCUGGGUAGAGCAUCUAUUGCAACUACAAUUGGCGAUAUCUACACAGAUCUAUACAUAAAAGAUAAGUAGGAAGUAAGCUUCUAUAGUGUGACGUAGAGGUAUUGGCCAUACACCAUGAAUGAUAGAGGCUGUGCAGCUGAUAUUCAUAGUUUAAUUACUUUUUCCUCCAAAGAGAUACAUAUUUUUAGCUAUAAUGUGUUAGCUUGCUGACAGUACAUCGAUAUAUUCUCCAAUCUGGUUCAACUAUGCCUAUACUCUUUAGUUUUAUGUUGAUGUUUACACUCUUUCUUCUGGUCUGGAGUCUUGUAUUUUUUUUCUGAGGUGUGUACUUCACUUUUAUGUUGUAUACACAAGUAUUUUCAGAUAAAUAAAAGCAAGAACAUUAGAGAGCAUGCAGGGCCCUGAAUUUGGAGAAUCUAGGCGUAUAUCUGUACAAUAUUAUUGAGGUAAUUUUGAAUUUCUGAAGCUUGGUCUGGGCUUAUGGUGCUUAGUUUUUCAGUGGGUUUUGCCGAGCAACUGAAAUUUCCAACUACUUCUAUUAGCAUUAUUGCACCUGAUCAUGGCUGAUUCUGCACUAUUCCCCUUCCUUGAUCUAUUCGUGACACAUCUAAAUUCAUUUGUGGAUCCUUACUCUGUAGUACGGGGACCCUGAGGUCCUUGGAGCCACACACGUUGCCACAUGUUAAUUAUCUUAUCGAUUGGCGUUAGUAGGAGGUAUCGAAUAUAGAUGGACUAUCUUCGUUAUUGAAUUGGCGUUAGUAAGAGGUAUUGAAUGUAGAUGGGCUAUCUUGGUUUUUGAAUGCUAGGUUGUCGGGCACUCGGGAUGAUGAUGUAUGGCCAGGGGUAGGCAAGCUCCCAAACUUGCACGAGUACCCUGACUUUUUUUUUGAGAGUACCCUCACUGGAACUUCUCAAAACUGUCUACUGUAUUAGUCUUGACGCCAAUGGUCUUGAUCUGCUUGAGUUUAUAGUAAUCAAACAUGUGUAUCCGACUAUUCGUGCUACUUGAUCCUUGCAGAAAAACAGAGAAGAAGAGGGGCUCUUGUAAGAAUCUUG
Molecule: long non-coding RNA, 1327 nt
Filed under: Triticum aestivum (bread wheat)
Lineage: Eukaryota; Viridiplantae; Streptophyta; Magnoliopsida; Poales; Poaceae
Description: long non-coding RNA (TAES_LNC011096)
Source: RNAcentral